Molecule: ribosomal RNA, 623 nt
Filed under: uncultured fungus
Lineage: Eukaryota; Fungi
Description: eukaryotic LSU rRNA
Rfam family: Eukaryotic large subunit ribosomal RNA
Source: RNAcentral
CCCGCUGAACUUAAGCAUAUCAAUAAGCGGAGGAAAAGAAACCAACAGGGAUUGCCUCAGUAACGGCGAGUGAAGCGGCAACAGCUCAAAUUUGAAAUCUGGCUCUUUGAGUCCGAAUUGUAAUUUGUAGAGGAUGUUUCGAGCGUGGUCCGGUCUAAGUUCCUUGGAACAGGACGUCAUAGAGGGUGAGAAUCCCGUAUGUGACCGGGUGCCUAUGUUCAUGUGAAACUCCUUCGACGAGUCGAGUUGUUUGGGAAUGCAGCUCAAAAUGGGUGGUAAAUUUCAUCUAAAGCUAAAUAUUGGCCAGAGACCGAUAGCGCACAAGUAGAGUGAUCGAAAGAUGAAAAGCACUUUGGAAAGAGAGUUAAACAGUACGUGAAAUUGUUGAAAGGGAAGCGCUUGCAACCAGACUUGCAUAUAGUUGAUCAUCCGGCGUUUUCACCGGUGCACUCGAUUGUAUUCAGGCCAGCAUCGGUUUUAGUGGUUGGAUAAAGGCCUUGGGAAUGUAGCUUCUUUCGGGGAGUGUUAUAGCCCUAGGUGCAAUGCAGCCUACUGAGACCGAGGACCGCGCUUCGGCUAGGAUGCUGGCGUAAUGGUUGUAAGCGACCCGUCUUGAAACACGG